AUCUUAUCCAGUGUUGACCUCAGAGUGAGUAUCUCCUAAUCACCUGCUACUUGAUGGAUUAAAGCGGGUAAGUGCUACAGCUGCCCACAGAAAUGCUUUACAGAAUCCUAAACAGGGAGGCACCCAGUUGAAAACAGAAAAAAUACAUAUGUUUUUGUUAGCUCCAGUGGCAACAGGGAUCAACAGUCACAAUGAUAGAGGAAGGGGCAUUCAAGGAACCAUUAAUGAGCAAUGUGCCUCC
This 241-nucleotide long non-coding RNA is filed under the name Homo sapiens (human). Its description in RNAcentral is "HSALNT0112163". Lineage: Eukaryota; Metazoa; Chordata; Mammalia; Primates; Hominidae. The record is from RNAcentral.